Long non-coding RNA from Hemibagrus wyckioides, 234 nucleotides. RefSeq lists it as uncharacterized. NCBI's taxonomy places the organism in Eukaryota, Metazoa, Chordata, Actinopteri, Siluriformes, Bagridae. The record is from RefSeq and is a predicted model, not a curated record. The transcript has 3 exons.
GUUCAUUUUUACUUCGAUCUUUACAUUUAUCUCGCUCUUUACAUAUUCUUCGCUGUUUACAAUGACUAGUAAAGGAACUGAAGAGGAAGAGGCGGCUGCACAGUCCUAAAAUUGCGGAGGCAGUCCGUCGGCUACACAACUCUGAGGCAAACUAUUAAGCUCAUCAUAUAAUGAGACGGUCACCUCAUUUUAGUGAAGCACUGUCCAUAAGCCGGGAAUUGCGUGAUGAAGGCC